CCCGCCGCCAUCCGUCCUGGCGCUCCGGAUGAGUCAAUGAGGGGCAGGGCCCGAGGAGUGGUCUUCCCAAGAACCCCUGGUGGCCUCCCAAGGCCGGUGCUGUGUACCUCCUCCCCGACAAAAGGGGAAACUGAGGCCCCGAGGGGAGUGGGAAGAGCCGGCUGGACGUCAGGCCCAGCCGCUGGUGCAGUGGUCCGUCCCCUCUGCCGGGGUGGGCCCCUCGGGUUUCGCGUGUCCUCGGGAAAGAGACUGGCGGGCCUCGUGGGCUGUGCGGCUAUCCUGGAGACAGAUGACAGCUCUCCCUUGGAUGGCUUUGCUGGUUCCGCACCAGCCAGCGCCCCCAUUUUUCCUGCAGCACCCUGAUCUGCACUCCCUGAGGGGCUCCCACUGUCCGCGGUGUGAGGAUGUCCCUGGAUAGUCCACUGUGUGCAGAGGCAUGGGAGUUGUCAUGUUGGGAACAUGCUAGACCUCAGUAUCCUUGAGCUUGAAGAAAGACGACAGAACACUGGAGACCAAGUACUUACAGCCUUCUGCUCUGUGGCCCCUCCUCACUCCAGGGAUGCUGCCUUGGGUCUGGAAACUGUUAGAGGAAACCCCAAGAGGUGCAGGCACUGAGCCUCUCAGGACAAUGACCUGGGGUCCCAGCUCCCCUGGAGGGGCCUCCUCAUGAUUGUUUGGGGGUUGAUCACAGACCAAGAGUGACGAGUGAUGUCACCCUGUGACUCAUGGCUGGACCUUCUUGCCCCUAUUGUCUCAGCACAACAUUAUUCGACUUUUCCCUCAGCGUGGGUGGGCAGAGGAAAAGCCCUGUGGCUCUGGGGACUUGGGAUCCAGAGUUGAAGACCCUUCAGCUGGCUCUGCCCUGCCAGUGCCACAGAGUGCCAUGGCCCAGGAAGACAGGUUUUCUUCCAUCUAGGCCAGGCCAUCCAGUGGCCAUCCUCCGUGUCCUCCCGCCUCCUCCUGGUGUGACUUCUGAAAACCAAGAAUUUGUUCCUGUUGACUUUUUCUGUGCUAUGGACCAUUGUCCUCUCACCCACUCAAUAAAUCUUGAAACAUGC
RNAcentral lists this long non-coding RNA (1058 nucleotides) under Homo sapiens (human). RNAcentral's name for it is "non-protein coding SNHG11:16". The record is from RNAcentral. Lineage: Eukaryota; Metazoa; Chordata; Mammalia; Primates; Hominidae.